UACGGCUAAAUCACGUUGAAAAACCGGCUCUCGUCUGGCCACCGGAAGUUAAGCAACGUCGAGCCUGGUCAGUACCUGGCUGGGUGUCCGCUUGGGACAGCAGGUGCUGUAAG
Molecule: non-coding RNA, 113 nt
Organism: Acanthosepion pharaonis
Lineage: Eukaryota; Metazoa; Mollusca; Cephalopoda; Sepiida; Sepiidae
Source: the annotation of a GenBank genome assembly